GCCUGGCUGGCUCAGUCGGUAGAGCUUGGGACUCUUAAUCCCAGGGUCAUGGGUUUGAGCUCCAAAUUGGGUG
Apodemus sylvaticus (European woodmouse) is the source of this 73-nucleotide non-coding RNA. The record is from the annotation of a RefSeq genome assembly. NCBI's taxonomy places the organism in Eukaryota, Metazoa, Chordata, Mammalia, Rodentia, Muridae.